This is a non-coding RNA of Caenorhabditis elegans, 21 nucleotides long. Lineage: Eukaryota; Metazoa; Nematoda; Chromadorea; Rhabditida; Rhabditidae. The record is from Ensembl.
GGUUUGAUCAAAAGUGAAAAA